AGGAAAAAAAACCAACAGGGAUUCUCUUAGUAACGGCGAGUGAAAAGAGAAAAGCUCAAGGCUGAAUCCCAUUCAAUUUUAUUGUUUGGGAGGUGUGGCUGAGCUUUAUGCUCUAAUUGUAAUGGAAAUAUUAAUAAAUUUUGCUGGAAAGCAAUGCCAUAGAAGGUGAAAGCCCUGUAGUUAAUAUUGAAGUUAUUUUUAUUGUAGCGUAAAGCUAAAGAGUCGGGUUGUUUAGUAUCACAACCCUAAAAUGGGAGAUAAACUUCUUCCAAAGCUAAAUAUCCCACUGAAGACCAAUAGUAAACAAGUACUGUAAAGGAAAGUUGAAAAGGACUCUGAACAGAGAGUCAAAAGAACUUGAAACCGAUAAAAGGGAAACAUAUUCUUUCAGUAUU
Molecule: ribosomal RNA, 395 nt
Filed under: uncultured Symbiodinium
Lineage: Eukaryota; Dinophyceae; Suessiales; Symbiodiniaceae
Description: partial Eukaryotic large subunit ribosomal RNA
Rfam family: Eukaryotic large subunit ribosomal RNA
Source: RNAcentral